AAGCAAUUAACUUAAUUGGUAGAGUAUCUAGUUUACACCUAGAAAGUUAAUGGUUCGAGUCCGUUAUUGCUUA
This 73-nucleotide transfer RNA is filed under the name Acavomonas peruviana. Its description in RNAcentral is "tRNA-Val". It matches the Rfam family "tRNA". Rfam says of the family: Transfer RNA (tRNA) molecules are approximately 80 nucleotides in length. The record is from RNAcentral. Lineage: Eukaryota; Colponemida; Acavomonidia.